This 448-nucleotide ribosomal RNA is filed under the name uncultured bacterium. RNAcentral describes it as "bacterial SSU rRNA". It matches the Rfam family "Bacterial small subunit ribosomal RNA", at positions 355 to 825 of the family's 1533-position model. The record is from RNAcentral.
UGGGGAAUCUUGGACAAUGGGCGAAAGCCUGAUCCAGCCAUGCCGCGUGAGUGACGAAGGUCUUCGGAUUGUAAAGCUCUUUUUGGCGGGGACGAUAAUGACGGUACCCGCAGAAUAAGCCCCGGCUAACUUCGUGCCAGCAGCCGCGGUAAUACGAAGGGGGCUAGCGUUGUUCGGAAUUACUGGGCGUAAAGCGCACGUAGGCGGAUUUGUAAGUCAGGGGUGAAAUCCCGGGGCUCAACCUCGGAACUGCCCUUGAUACUGCAAAUCUCGAGUCCGAUAGAGGUGAGUGGAAUUCCUAGUGUAGAGGUGAAAUUCGUAGAUAUUAGGAAGAACACCAGUGGCGAAGGCGGCUCACUGGAUCGGUACUGACGCUGAGGUGCGAAAGCGUGGGGAGCAAACAGGAUUAGAUACCCCCGUAGUCCCUGAGCGGGCUGGCAAGGCGCAU